GACGAACGCUGGCGGCGUGCUUAACACAUGCAAGUCGAACGGAAAGGCCCUGCUUUUGUGGGGUGCUCGAGUGGCGAACGGGUGAGUAACACGUGAGUAACCUGCCCUUGACUUUGGGAUAACUUCAGGAAACUGGGGCUAAUACCGGAAAGGAGCUCCUGCUGCAUGGUGGGGGUUGGAAAGUUUCGGCGGUUGGGGAUGGACUCGCGGCUUAUCAGCUUGUUGGUGGGGUAGUGGCUUACCAAGGCUUUGACGGGUAGCCGGCCUGAGAGGGUGACCGGCCACAUUGGGACUGAGAUACGGCCCAGACUCCUACGGGAGGCAGCAGUGGGGAAUAUUGCACAAUGGGCGGAAGCCUGAUGCAGCAACGCCGCGUGCGGGAGGACGGCCUUCGGGUUGUAAACCGCUUUCGCCUGUGACGAAGCGUGAGUGACGGUAAUGGGGAAAGAAGCACCGGCUAACUACGU
This 467-nucleotide ribosomal RNA is filed under the name uncultured bacterium. RNAcentral's name for it is "partial 16S ribosomal RNA". It matches the Rfam family "Bacterial small subunit ribosomal RNA", at positions 28 to 506 of the family's 1533-position model. The record is from RNAcentral.